Molecule: ribosomal RNA, 780 nt
Filed under: uncultured Neocallimastigales
Lineage: Eukaryota; Fungi; Neocallimastigomycota; Neocallimastigomycetes; Neocallimastigales
Description: partial large subunit ribosomal RNA
Rfam family: Eukaryotic large subunit ribosomal RNA
Source: RNAcentral
AGAGAGAGACAUGCGCGCAUAUCAAUAAGCGGAGGAAAAGAAACUAACUAGGAUUCCCUCAGUAACGGCGAGUGAAGCGGGAAGAGCUCAAAUUUGAAAUCUUAAAGGUUUCCCUUGACGAAUUGUAGUUUAAAGAAGUGUUUUCUGUUGGAGUUUCGGUAAAAGUUCUUUGGAAUAGGACAUCAUAGAGGGUGAGAAUCCCGUAUUUGACCAUUACUUUCCAGCUGUGUGAUACACUUUCAAAGAGUCGGAUUGUUUGGGAAUGCAGUCCAAAAUGGGUGGUAAAUUUCAUCUAAAGCUAAAUAUUGGCGAGAGACCGAUAGCGAACAAGUACCGUGAGGGAAAGAUGAAAAGAACUUUGAAAAGAGAGUUAAACAGUACGUGAAAUUGUCAAAGGGAAGCGUUUGACACCAGUGUUGUUUUUCGAAAAUCAAUUAAAAUAGGAUUUCGAUUGUAGGUAGUAUUGACCUUAUCAGGCUUGCUGCUUCGUUCUCGGAUUAUUUUGAUGCACUUUUCAGGUUAACAAGUCAACAUCAAUUUCUUUUGUUGUAAAAGGAUAAGAGGAAGGUGGCUUACGCUUCGCGUAAGUGUUUAUAGCCUUUUAUCCUCUGCAGUCGGAGAGAUUGAGGUCUGCAGCGUAGACUCUUCGGGGUUAGGUACAGCUUGUGCUAAGCUAUAGCCUUGUAUAGACAACAUUGUUGACUAUGCUCAGUCAUGUAGCUUACUCGCAUUGAUAGCUAUUUUACCUACGCUUAGGAUGUUGACAGCAGUAUAGACUGU